AUUGAACGCUGGCGGCAGGCUUAACACAUGCAAGUCGAGCGGUAGCACAAGAGAGCUUGCUCUCUGGGUGACGAGCGGCGGACGGGUGAGUAAUGUCUGGGAAACUGCCUGAUGGAGGGGGAUAACUACUGGAAACGGUAGCUAAUACCGCAUAACGUCGCAAGACCAAAGAGGGGGACCUUCGGGUCUCUUGCCAUCAGAUGUGCCCAGAUGGGAUUAGCUAGUAGGUGGGGUAAUGGCUCACCUAGGCGACGAUCCCUAGCUGGUCUGAGAGGAUGACCAGCCACACUGGAACUGAGACACGGUCCAGACUCCUACGGGAGGCAGCAGUGGGGAAUAUUGCACAAUGGGCGCAAGCCUGAUGCAGCCAUGCCGCGUGUGUGAAGAAGGCCUUCGGGUUGUAAAGCACUUUCAGCGAGGAGGAAGGUGGUGAACUUAAUACGUUCAUGAAUUGACGUUACUCGCAGAAGAAGCACCGGCUAACUCCGUG
This 490-nucleotide ribosomal RNA is filed under the name uncultured bacterium. RNAcentral describes it as "partial 16S ribosomal RNA". It matches the Rfam family "Bacterial small subunit ribosomal RNA", at positions 30 to 507 of the family's 1533-position model. The record is from RNAcentral.